AUCGCUUCUCUGCCUUUUUGGCUAAGAUCAGCGUAGUAUCUGUUCUUAUCAGUUUAAUAUUCGAUACGUCCCUCAUUCCGUGACCCAUAUAUUAAAUUGAUUUUUGAAACAGGAGAUGGAAUAGGGGCUUGCUCCGGUCUAAUUCCACUGUACUCACCUGAAAAGGCAGUACUCCAGGAGCCGUGCACUUUCU
This is a small nuclear RNA of Polypterus senegalus (gray bichir), 193 nucleotides long. RefSeq annotates it as U2 spliceosomal RNA. The record is from RefSeq and is a predicted model, not a curated record. The transcript has a single exon. Lineage: Eukaryota; Metazoa; Chordata; Cladistia; Polypteriformes; Polypteridae.